This is a long non-coding RNA of Helianthus annuus (common sunflower), 489 nucleotides long. RefSeq lists it as uncharacterized. NCBI's taxonomy places the organism in Eukaryota, Viridiplantae, Streptophyta, Magnoliopsida, Asterales, Asteraceae. The record is from RefSeq and is a predicted model, not a curated record. The transcript has 3 exons.
GAGAGAGAGAGAGAGGACCAAGGAGAGAGUCAAGAAACCCUAAGUCUCUAAAAUCUCAUCAAUUGAAGGCUAAAUUAGUGAAGAAUCGAAUGCAUGAGCUAAGAAUUCAGAUUUUCUAAGUAUCCUUGAUCUCAAGCACGAAGAAGGAAGAAGGUGCAAGUCACUCGAAGGCACAAGCAUCUCAAGAUCGCGGUAAAUCACAUGGUUAAUUGCGGCGCGCUCGGACCGAACACACACAACGUUGACCUUUAUACGCUUCCGGUUCAAGUUGUUUCUUUUGAAUGGGUCGAAACGUCCUUUUGUGUAGUAAAAGUUAAACUAGUUACUAGGAUGAUGGUAGUAGUUUGAAGUUAAACUUUGUUUUGAAUAGUUUGGGUUUAAUGUUUUGGGUGAAAAGCAUAAGGUUUAAAAUUUAACAUCUUUUGUAAAUGUCGUUGAAUGUAUUUUGAUUGAUUUUGUAUAAAAAAAGGGAAUCGUCUUCUUUACGAA